This 552-nucleotide ribosomal RNA is filed under the name uncultured fungus. RNAcentral describes it as "SSU rRNA". It matches the Rfam family "Eukaryotic small subunit ribosomal RNA", at positions 20 to 575 of the family's 1831-position model. Lineage: Eukaryota; Fungi. The record is from RNAcentral.
GUAGUCAUAUGCUUGUCUCACAAGAUUAAGCCAUGCAUGUCUAAGUAUAAGCAAUUAUACCGUGAAACUGCGAAUGGCUCAUUAAAUCAGUUAUCGUUUAUUUGAUAGUACCUUACUACUUGGAUAACCGUGGUAAUUCUAGAGCUAAUACAUGCUAAAAACCCCAACUUCGGGAGGGGUGUACUUAUUAGAUAAAAAGCCAAUGCCCUUCGGGGCUCCUUGGUGAUUCAUGAUAACUUCUCAGAUCGCAUGGCUUUACGCCGGCGACGGUUCAUUCAAAUUUCUGCCCUAUCAACUUUCGAUGGUAAGGUAUUGGCUUACCAUGGUUUCAACGGGUAACGGGGAAUUAGGGUUCGAUUCCGGAGAGGGAGCCUGAGAAACGGCUACCACAUCCAAGGAAGGCAGCAGGCGCGCAAAUUACCCAAUUCCGAUACGGAGAGGUAGUGACAAUAAAUACUGAUACAGGGCUCUUUUGGGUCUUGUAAUUGGAAUGAGUACAAUUUAAACCUCUUAACGAGGAACAAUUGGAGGGCAAGUCUGGUGCCAGCAGCC